AUUGAACGCUGGCGGCAGGCUUAACACAUGCAAGUCGAGCGGGGUGAUGGUGCUUGCACUAUCACUUAGCGGCGGACGGGUGAGUAAUGCUUAGGAAUCUGCCUAUUAGUGGGGGACAACAUCUCGAAAGGGAUGCUAAUACCGCAUACGUCCUACGGGAGAAAGCAGGGGAUCACUUGUGACCUUGCGCUAAUAGAUGAGCCUAAGUCGGAUUAGCUAGUUGGUGGGGUAAAGGCCUACCAAGGCGACGAUCUGUAGCGGGUCUGAGAGGAUGAUCAGCCACACUGGGACUGAAACACGGCCCAGACUCCUACGGGAGGCAGCAGUGGGGAAUAUUGGACAAUGGGGGGAACCCUGAUCCAGCCAUGCCGCGUGUGUGAAGAAGGCCUUAUGGUUGUAAAGCACUUUAAGCGAGGAGGAGGCUCUUUUGGUUAAUACCCAAGAUGAGUGGACGUUACUCGCAGAAUAAGCACCGGCUAACUCUGUGCCAGCAGCCGCCGUAA
This 503-nucleotide ribosomal RNA is filed under the name uncultured bacterium. Its description in RNAcentral is "partial 16S ribosomal RNA". It matches the Rfam family "Bacterial small subunit ribosomal RNA", at positions 30 to 523 of the family's 1533-position model. The record is from RNAcentral.